Molecule: unclassified non-coding RNA, 342 nt
Filed under: Hevea brasiliensis (rubber tree)
Lineage: Eukaryota; Viridiplantae; Streptophyta; Magnoliopsida; Malpighiales; Euphorbiaceae
Source: RNAcentral
CCACAUUAUAAAAUCAAAUCUGUGAAAUGUCAUGAGUUUAAACUUCAUCCAUAGCAAAUAUUGACUUUGGGAGGGAAAUUACAGGCGGUCCAGCAUCGACAACUAGUUUGAAAACUUUUUGUCAAAGCACCUUAUUUUUCUUACUUUACAAAAAAAUCACAUUUCCUUCGAAUUGCUCUAUAAAAUCCUGCUUCCAAUACCAUUUUAGAAGCACUAGUGUACAUUUUAUAAUGCUUUUCAAAUAUAAUGCUUUUCGAAUAUCUACUUCUAAAUUCAUUAUACAGAUGCAUGAGCAAAUGAAAGGGUUAGUUAUGUGAACAGGUUUUGAUUGGAGUUAAUUUA